RNAcentral lists this ribosomal RNA (459 nucleotides) under Pyractomena sp. CO1046. Its description in RNAcentral is "partial 16S ribosomal RNA". It matches the Rfam family "Bacterial large subunit ribosomal RNA", at positions 1825 to 2565 of the family's 2925-position model. The record is from RNAcentral. Lineage: Eukaryota; Metazoa; Arthropoda; Insecta; Coleoptera; Lampyridae.
GUCCUUUUGAAAUUAAUUUAAGGUUUGAUCUGCUCAAUGAUAAUUUAAAUAGCCGCAGUAUUUUGACUGUGCAAAGGUAGCGUGAUAAUUAGUUUUUUAAUUGAAAACUUGUAUGAAUGAUUUGACGAGAAAAUUUCUGUCUCUAUUUAAUUUUUUAUGAAUUUAAUUUUUAAGUUAAAAAGCUUAAAUAAUUAUAAAAGACGAGAAGACCCCAUAGAGUUUUAUUUUUUCUUAUUAUUUAGAAUUAUUUUAAUCUGAGAAAAAUUAGUUGGGGUGACUGAAAAAUUUAAUUAACUUUUUUAAUUUAAAUCAUUGAUCUAUGAAUAAAAAAUCUAGUUUUUCUAAUUUUAAAUAAAGUUACCUUGGGGAUAACAGAGUAAUUUCUCUUAGAGUUCUUAUCAAAGGAGAAGAUUGCUACCUCGAUGUUGGAUUAAAAUUUAAUUUAGGUGUAGAAGCUUA